RNAcentral lists this ribosomal RNA (301 nucleotides) under uncultured bacterium. RNAcentral describes it as "partial 16S ribosomal RNA". It matches the Rfam family "Bacterial small subunit ribosomal RNA", at positions 509 to 807 of the family's 1533-position model. The record is from RNAcentral.
CAGCCGCCACGGGAAUACGUAGGGUGCAAGCGUUAAUCGUAAUUACUGGGCGCAAAGCGUGCGUAGGCGGUUUGUUAAGUCUGCUGUGAAAUCCCCGGGCUCAACCUGGGAAUGGCAGUGGAUACUGGCAAGCUAGAGUGUGUCAGAGGAUGGUGGAAUUCCCGGUGUAGCGGUGAAAUGCGUAGAGAUCGGGAGGAACAUCAGUGGCGAAGGCGGCCAUCUGGGACAACACUGACGCUGAGGCACGAAAGCGUGGGGAGCAAACAGGAUUAGAUACCCCGGUAGUCCCUGUCUCUUAUAC